AGCGUUGUCCGGNUUAUUGGGCGUAAAGCGAGCGCAGGCGGUUUUUUAAGUCUGAUGUGAAAGCCUUCGGCUUAACCGGCAGAAGUGCAUCGGAAACUGGGAGACUUGAGUGCAGAAGAGGACAGUGGAACUCCAUGUGUAGCGGUGGAAUGCGUAGAUAUAUGGAAGAACACCAGUGGCGAAGGCGGCUGUCUAGUCUGUAACUGACGCUGAGGCUCGAAAGCAUGGGUAGCGAACAGGAUUAGAUACCCUGGUAGUCCAUGCCGUAAACGAUGAGUGCUAAGUGUUGGAGGGUUUCCGCCCUUCANUGCUGCAGCUAACGCAUUAAGCACUCCGCCUGGGGAGUACGACCGCAAGGUUGAAACUCAAAGGAAUUGACGGGGGCCCGCACAAGCGGUGGAGCAUGUGGUUUAAUUCNAANCUACNCNAAAACCUUACCAGGUCUUGACAUCUUCUGCCAAUCUUA
This 466-nucleotide ribosomal RNA is filed under the name Levilactobacillus brevis. RNAcentral's name for it is "bacterial SSU rRNA". It matches the Rfam family "Bacterial small subunit ribosomal RNA", at positions 537 to 1002 of the family's 1533-position model. Lineage: Bacteria; Bacillati; Bacillota; Bacilli; Lactobacillales; Lactobacillaceae. The record is from RNAcentral.